This 469-nucleotide ribosomal RNA is filed under the name uncultured bacterium. RNAcentral's name for it is "bacterial SSU rRNA". It matches the Rfam family "Bacterial small subunit ribosomal RNA", at positions 28 to 507 of the family's 1533-position model. The record is from RNAcentral.
GACGAACGCUGGCGGCACGCUUAACACAUGCAAGUCGAACGAGAGAGAAGAUUAGCUUGCUAAACUUCGAUCUAGUGGCGGACGGGUGAGUAACACGUGAGGAACCUGCCUAUCAGAGAGGGAUACCGUUUGGAAACGAACGUUAAUACCACAUAACGUAACGAUACCGCAUGGUAAUGUUACCAAAGAUUUAUCGCUGAUAGAUGGCCUCGCGUCUGAUUAGAUAGUUGGUGAGGUAACGGCUCACCAAGUCGACGAUCGUUAGCCGGACUGAGAGGUUGAACGGCCACAUUGGGACUGAGACACGGCCCAGACUCCUACGGGAGGCAGCAGUGAGGAAUAUUGGGCAAGUGGGCGCAAGCCUGACCCAGCAAUGCCGCGUGAAGGAAGACGGUUUUCGGAUUGUAAACUUCUUUUAAGAGGGACGAUAAUGACGGUACCUCUUGAAUAAGCCACGGCUAACUACGUG